UACGUAGGUGGCAAGCGUUGUCCGGAUUUACUGGGCGUAAAGGGCGUGCAGGCGGUCUGUUAAGUCUAGGGUGAAAGCUCCCGGCUCAACUGGGAGAGGUCCUUGGAUACUGGCGGACUUGAGGGAUGCAGAGGAAAGUGGAAUUCCCGGUGUAGUGGUGAUAUGCGUAGAUAUCGGGAGGAACACCAGUGGCGAAGGCGGCUUUCUGGGCAUUACCUGACGCUGAGACGCGAAAGCGUGGGGAGCAAACAGG
This 253-nucleotide ribosomal RNA is filed under the name uncultured bacterium. RNAcentral's name for it is "partial 16S ribosomal RNA". It matches the Rfam family "Bacterial small subunit ribosomal RNA", at positions 524 to 776 of the family's 1533-position model. The record is from RNAcentral.